GACGAACCGUGCGAACGUUAUUCGGAAUCACUGGGCUUAAAGCGCGUGUAGGCGGGCCAGCACGUCGGGCGCUGAAAUCCCCCGGCUCAACCGGGGAACGGGCACCGAUACGACUGGCCUGGAGGGGAGUAGGGGGACCUGGAACUUCCGGUGGAGCGGUGAAAUGCGUUGAGAUCGGAAGGAACGCCCGUGGCGAAAGCGAGGUCCUGGGCUCUUACUGACGCUGAGACGCGAAAGCCAGGGGAGCAAACGGG
Molecule: ribosomal RNA, 254 nt
Filed under: uncultured bacterium
Lineage: Bacteria
Description: partial 16S ribosomal RNA
Rfam family: Bacterial small subunit ribosomal RNA
Source: RNAcentral